AUACGUAGGUGGCAAGCGUUGUCCGGAAUUAUUGGGCGUAAAGCGCGCGCAGGUGGUUCCUUAAGUCUGAUAUGAAAGCCCCCGGCUCAACCGGGGAGGGUCAUUGGAAACUGGGGAACUUGAGUGCAGAAGAGGAUAGUGGAAUUCCAAGUGUAGCGGUGAAAUGCGUAGGGAUUUGGAGGAACACCAGUGGCGAAGGCGACUGUCGGGGCUGUAACUGACACGGAGGCGCGAAAGCGUGGGGAGCAAACAGGAUUAGAUCCCCUGGUAGUCCACGCCGUAAACGAUGAGUGCUAAGUGUUGGGGGGUUUCCGCCCCUCAGUGCUGCAGCUAACGCAUUAAGCACUCCGCCUGGGGAGUACGGUCGCAAGACUGAAACUCAAAUGAAUUGGCGGGG
Molecule: ribosomal RNA, 397 nt
Filed under: uncultured bacterium
Lineage: Bacteria
Description: partial 16S ribosomal RNA
Rfam family: Bacterial small subunit ribosomal RNA
Source: RNAcentral